This 253-nucleotide ribosomal RNA is filed under the name uncultured bacterium. RNAcentral describes it as "partial 16S ribosomal RNA". It matches the Rfam family "Bacterial small subunit ribosomal RNA", at positions 524 to 776 of the family's 1533-position model. The record is from RNAcentral.
UACGUAGGGUGCAAGCGUUGUCCGGAAUUAUUGGGCGUAAAGAGCUCGUAGGCGGUUUGUCGCGUCUGCUGUGAAAACUCGGGGCUUAACUCCGGGCCUGCAGUGGGUACGGGCAGACUAGAGUGCGGUAGGGGAGACUGGAAUUCCUGGUGUAGCGGUGAAAUGCGCAGAUAUCAGGAGGAACACCGGUGGCGAAGGCGCUCUGCUGGACCAUAACUGACACUCAGGGACGAAAGCUAGGGGAGCGAAUGGG